RNA transcript from Leptopilina heterotoma, 2365 nucleotides. RefSeq lists it as uncharacterized. The record is from RefSeq and is a predicted model, not a curated record. The transcript has 2 exons. Lineage: Eukaryota; Metazoa; Arthropoda; Insecta; Hymenoptera; Figitidae.
UUUAUUAAUAAAGCAGUGUGCGCAGUGAUAAAGUGAUAAUUCGUUUACCAUUAUUCUCCUGAGAGAAAUAAAAUUCCAACAGGUUAUAGGCUCAGCACGUGGUGACGAAUUUUAUCCUGGGAAAGAGAACAAGAACCGUAUACAGGUUAGAUUAUAAAUUCAAUUUACAAAAAUAUUCAGAAUUGUACUAAUUUUGUACAUCAGAUUUUUGUGCUGAGAGAAUUAAAGAGGAAAACAAUUAUUUCGAGCCAUCAAUUAAACAUGCAGAAACAAGGACCAUAAGUCCAACAGUUUAUUAUUAAGAAAAUAUAAGUGAAUAUCUAACGUGAAAUCCUAAAAUCAAGAACGUAGUACGUUUCAUGAUUUAAAAGUUAUGUAUGACAUGAGGACAUGUAAAAAUACAACGUCCCCAGACACGUAAUUUGCUUACAUAUCAAACAUUUUUCUUCAGAGAAACAGAGAACACAAAAUUUUUUCUUUUUCUCUUUCAGCACAGGAAAGUAUUGAGAAUCUAAUUAAAAACACAAAUCAAUUGUUGAGUGUACAUUCGCAUAUGCGGCCGCCACCUACCCAUAAAGUAACAAAAAUCUAAAGUUUAGAGAUUUGGUUUAGGAGGGAGUAUGCGAAUGUGGACUAACAAUAAUUUUUUAUUCGAAUAUUGAUAACAGUGUUCUUAAUAUUCAUAUUUAUAGAGAUAAAUGUUUGGCAGAUAUAAUUCAGAUUCAUGGAUGAAAAUUUAGAGAACAAUGGCAAUGGUCAACAAAACUAGACGAGCGAGAAAACAGAACAGUCUCAACUAACUGAAAAACAAUCACAAGGUAUUUAAAAAAAAAGAACAGUAUAAUAAAAUUAUUUAAAAGAAGUCAGAAUAUGGAUCCAUAUGUUCCUGAUAAUACAGAAAAUUUAGAGUCUGUGUAUCUUGAACGAAAUACAAGUCCAAACAUUAAAAUAAAACAUAAUUUUUCAGAGAAUCGAAUGCCCUCAGAAUCUGAUUGGAGUGAACUCAUCAAAGCAAUGAAAGCUCAAGCUGAUGCUACAAACAAUCUAGCUAGCAAAAUUAAUGAAAUGAAUUCAACUAUGGACAAAUUAUUAUCAGAAGAUUUAAAAGAGACAACAAAGCAGUCCAACACAACAUCAUUGACAGUACUUCCAGAAGUGAGUACGCUGCAAGAAAAAUUAAACGAAGCAACCAAUAAAGACACAAAUUUAUUAAGUUCUACCUCUUACGAUCAGAGAUCCGAACCCACUAACACGUUACAACAAACAGACACUGACACAAAUAAUUAGUCCUUAGCAGAAAUAAACAGAACUUUUGCCCAACUGAAUCGAACCUUAGAGUCAAAUUUUCAGAGUAAAGUGCACAUUAAGAGAGACUAUAAACUAAAUAACAAAAGCAAUCUUGACACUUGGAUCGACCAUUUAUAUUCAGAAUUAGCGUCAAAUGAUUUAAAAGAGAUAUUAACUCAUCCUGAAAAAUUUGAAGAUGAUAAUUCAGAGAAAACUAUUAAAAGAAAAACUUUAGUCAGAGAUAUUAUCAUAUCUCAUUUAGAUGUAAACUAUUAUAAGAAAAUUCUAAAAAUAAAUGAGCCAAGUGCAAUCUUAACUAAAAUAAGAAAAAUCAGAAGAAUAGAAUCAAACAUGACUAGCACUUACGUCAGAGAAAAAUUAUAUACUAUUAAGAGAGAUAAGAAGGAAAAAGCAAGUGAUUUUUUCGAUCGGUUUGACAAAAUAGUUACAGAUUAUGACAAUUGUAAUUCAGAAGAAAAAUUAUCUACUGAAGAGAUACGAUCUGCAUUUUACAAAGCAGUAAAAGAUAGCUGUCAUGAACUAAGGUCGGCAUAUCUAGUAAAAAGUCAAGCAGACAUACGCAUGACAUUAGAAGAAAUAAAAAAUUGCAUUUUACUAGUCGAAGCAGACAAACACGGACAGAUAGAGACAAAAGCAAAUUUUGCAAAAAGUAAUCACCAUAAUCAAAAUUUCAAAGAACAAAAAAACUCAUAAAUAAAUAGAGGCAGAGGAAGAGGUUCAUUUAGAGAUUACUUUAAGAGGUAGAGGGAUUUUCAGAAGCAGAACUUUCAAAAAUCAAAGAUUCACACCAUACGACAAGGAGAAUAAACAAAAGCCAAAAAAUGUCAACGCAAAAUUAGCAGAUUAUUCUGAAGAAGAUAAAGAUAAAUAAGGAAAACUAAAAAUUACAAAGGGAGGGAGUGUCGGCCAGAGGCAAGCUUUGUAUUUUUUAUUUAUGCAGCGCAUUUAAAUUUACCGCCACUUGAAAGGCCCUCUAUCAAAUGAUAGAGUCACUAACUUACUUCUUUUCAGACGUUUGAACUGAUCGCGUCGUUUUUUCUAUAUAUUCAGAGUGUUU